Molecule: ribosomal RNA, 805 nt
Filed under: uncultured bacterium
Lineage: Bacteria
Description: bacterial SSU rRNA
Rfam family: Bacterial small subunit ribosomal RNA
Source: RNAcentral
GCAAGAUGAGAGUUUGAUCCUGGCUCAGGAUGAACGCUGGCGGUAUGCCUAACACAUGCAAGUCGAACGAACUCUUCGGAGAGAGCGGCGGACGGGUGAGUAACACGUAAGAAUCUGCCUUUUGGUCGGGGAUAACAGUGGGAAACUACUGCUAAUACCGGAUGAGCUGAGAAGUAAAAGAUUUAUUGCCAAAAGAGGAGCUUGCGUCUGAUUAGCUAGAUGGUGGGGUAAGAGCGUACCAUGGCAACGAUCAGUAGCUGGUCUGAGAGGAUGAGCAGCCACACUGGGACUGAGACACGGCCCAGACUCCUACGGGAGGCAGCAGUGGGGAAUUUUCCGCAAUGGGCGAAAGCCUGACGGAGCAAUACCGCGUGAGGGAGGAAGGCUCUUGGGUUGUAAACCUCAAAACUUAGGGAAGAAAAAAAUGACGGUACCUAAUAUAAGCAUCGGCUAACUCCGUGCCAGCAGCCGCGGUAAUACGGAGGAUGCAAGCGUUAUCCGGAAUCAUUGGGCGUAAAGAGUCCGUAGGCGGCUAAUCAAGUCUGCUGUCAAAAACCGAAGCUCAACUUCGGGAAGGCGGUGGAAACUGAAGAGCUAGAGUACAGUAGGGGUAGAGGGAAUUCCCAGUGUAGCGGUGAAAUGCGUAGAGAUUGGGAAGAACACCAGUGGCGAAGGCGCUCUACUGGACUUGUACUGACGCUGAGGGACGAAAGCUAGGGUAGCGAAAGGGAUUAGAUACCCCUGUAGUCUUAGCAGUAAACGAUGGAUACUAGGCGUAGCUUGUAUCGACCCGAGCUGUGCCGAA